CCCCCAAACCCCUCCAGGACCUCCCUGAGCCCCCCCAAAUUCCCCUCCCAGGUCUCUCUCCUGGGGGAGCCCCCCAAGGAUUUGAGGAUCCCCCUCAAUCCCUACCUGAACCUGCAGAGCCUCCUGCCCACGCCCGGCCUGCCAGGAAAAGGGUUUAAGGUGAAACCUGGAGUUUUGGGGACCCCCCCGCCCGACGCCUUCGCUGUGGACUUCCCGGAUUUGGGGUCCCGGAUUUUCCCCCAGCCCCGCGACCACGGCUCCAUCCUGGGGGGCUUCGGGCACGGCAGGCACAAGAUCUCCUCCUCCUCCUCGGGGUUGGACAGGGGGGGUCUGGGACCCCCAGGGCCCCCCUUUUUCUCAGGAUCCCCCAGUUCCUACUUCACCAGUGGCCUCCAGGCCGGGCUCAAGCAGAGCCACCUCAGCAAGGUGAGACCCCUCCCCAAAUU
This is a non-coding RNA of Zonotrichia albicollis (white-throated sparrow), 446 nucleotides long. Lineage: Eukaryota; Metazoa; Chordata; Aves; Passeriformes; Passerellidae. The record is from RefSeq and is a predicted model, not a curated record.